ACCACGGGACACGUGAAACCCUGUGGGAAGCAGGAGGGACCACCCUCCAAGGCUAAAUACUACCUAGUGACCGAGAGCGUAUAGUACCGUGAGGGAAAGGGGAAAAGAACCCCGGGAGGGGAGGGAAUAAGAACAUGAAACCCUGCAAUUACAAGCUGUGGAAGGACAAUGGUUGUGUGACCGCGUAAUUUUUGGAGAACGGGCCAACGAAUUACGCUAAGUAGCAAGGUUAAGCACUUAAGGUGCGGAGCCGUAGCGAAAGCGAGUUUUAACUGAGCGUUCAGUUACUUGACGUAGACCCGAAACCGGGCGACCUACCCAUGAGCAGGAUGAAGCGAAAGUAAAAUUUCGUGGAGGUCCGAACCCACGAGCG
RNAcentral lists this ribosomal RNA (373 nucleotides) under Clostridioides difficile. RNAcentral's name for it is "bacterial LSU rRNA". It matches the Rfam family "Bacterial large subunit ribosomal RNA", at positions 414 to 788 of the family's 2925-position model. The record is from RNAcentral. Lineage: Bacteria; Bacillati; Bacillota; Clostridia; Peptostreptococcales; Peptostreptococcaceae.